Molecule: ribosomal RNA, 601 nt
Filed under: uncultured beta proteobacterium
Lineage: Bacteria; Pseudomonadati; Pseudomonadota; Betaproteobacteria
Description: bacterial SSU rRNA
Rfam family: Bacterial small subunit ribosomal RNA
Source: RNAcentral
UACUCGAAAGAGUAGCUAAUACCGCAUGAGAUCUACGGAUGAAAGCAGGGGACCUUCGGGCCUUGUGCUACUAGAGCGGCUGAUGGCAGAUUAGGUAGUUGGUGGGGUAAAGGCUUACCAAGCCUGCGAUCUGUAGCUGGUCUGAGAGGACGACCAGCCACACUGGGACUGAGACACGGCCCAGACUCCUACGGGAGGCAGCAGUGGGGAAUUUUGGACAAUGGGCGAAAGCCUGAUCCAGCAAUGCCGCGUGCAGGAUGAAGGCCCUCGGGUUGUAAACUGCUUUUGUACGGAACGAAAAGCCUGGGGCUAAUACCCCCGGGUCAUGACGGUACCGUAAGAAUAAGCACCGGCUAACUACGUGCCAGCAGCCGCGGUAAUACGUAGGGUGCAAGCGUUAAUCGGAAUUACUGGGCGUAAAGCGUGCGCAGGCGGUUUUGUAAGACAGUGGUGAAUCCCCGGGCUCAACCUGGGAACUGCCAUUGUGACUGCAAGGCUAGAGUGCGGCAGAGGGGGAUGGAAUUCCGCGUGUAGCAGUGAAAUGCGUAGAUAUGCGGAGGACACCGAUGGCGAAGGCAAUCCCCUGGGCCUGCACUGACGC